AUGCUUUACACAUGCAAGUCGAACGGCAGCGCGAACUUCGGUUUGGCGGCGAGUGGCGAACGGGUGAGUAAUAUAUCGGAACGUACCCAGUAGCGGGGGAUAACUACUCGAAAGAGUAGCUAAUACCGCAUACGCCCUACGGGGGAAAGGGGGGGAUCGCAAGACCUCUCACUAUUGGAGCGGCCGAUAUCGGAUUAGCUAGUUGGUGGGGUAAAGGCUCACCAAGGCGACGAUCCGUAGCUGGUUUGAGAGGACGACCAGCCACACUGGGACUGAGACACGGCCCAGACUCCUACGGGAGGCAGCAGUGGGGAAUUUUGGACAAUGGGGGCAACCCUGAUCCAGCCAUCCCGCGUGUGCGAUGAAGGCCUUCGGGUUGUAAAGCACUUUUGGCAGGAAAGAAAUCGCAUGGGUUAAUAACCUGUGUGGAUGACGGUACCUGCAGAAUAAGCACCGGCUAACUACGUGCCAGCAGCCGCGGUAAUACGUAGGGUGCAAGCGUUAAUCGGAAUUACUGGGCGUAAAGCGUGCGCAGGCGGUUCGGAAAGAAAGAUGUGAAAUCCCAGGGCUUAACCUUGGAACUGCAUUUUUAACUACCGAGCUAGAGUAUGUCAGAGGGGGGUGGAAUCCCGCGUGUAGCAGUGAAAUGCGUAGAUAUGCGGAGGAACACCGAUGGCAAAGGCAGCCCCCUGGGAUAA
Molecule: ribosomal RNA, 698 nt
Filed under: uncultured beta proteobacterium
Lineage: Bacteria; Pseudomonadati; Pseudomonadota; Betaproteobacteria
Description: bacterial SSU rRNA
Rfam family: Bacterial small subunit ribosomal RNA
Source: RNAcentral